Molecule: ribosomal RNA, 482 nt
Filed under: uncultured bacterium
Lineage: Bacteria
Description: partial 16S ribosomal RNA
Rfam family: Bacterial small subunit ribosomal RNA
Source: RNAcentral
AUUGAACGCUGGCGGCAUGCUUUACACAUGCAAGUCGAACGGUAACAGCACUUCGGUGGCUGACGAGUGGCGAACGGGUGAGUAAUACAUCGGAACGUGCCUAGUAGUGGGGGAUAACUACUCGAAAGAGUAGCUAAUACCGCAUGAGAUCUAAGGAUGAAAGCAGGGGACCUUCGGGCCUUGCGCUACUAGAGCGGCUGAUGGCAGAUUAGGUAGUUGGUGGGAUAAAAGCUUACCAAGCCGACGAUCUGUAGCUGGUCUGAGAGGACGACCAGCCACACUGGGACUGAGACACGGACCAGACUCCUACGGGAGGCAGCAGUGGGGAAUUUUGGACAAUGGGCGCAAGCAUGAUCCAGCAAUGCCGAGUGCAGGAUGAAGGCCUUCGGGUUGUAAACUGCUUUUGUACGGAACGAAAAGCCCUCUUCUAAUACAGGAGGGUCAUGACGGUACCGGAAGAAUAAGCACCGGCUAACUACGUG